CCUACGGGGGGCAGCAGUGAGGAAUAUUGGUCAAUGGACGAGAGUCUGAACCAGCCAAGUAGCGUGAAGGAUGACUGCCCUAUGGGUUGUAAACUUCUUUUAUAUGGGAAUAAAAUGUUCCACGUGUGGGAUUUUGUAUGUACCAUAUGAAUAAGGAUCGGCUAACUCCGUGCCAGCAGCCGCGGUAAUACGGAGGAUCCGAGCGUUAUCCGGAUUUAUUGGGUUUAAAUGGAGCGUAGGUGGAUUGUUAAGUCAGUUGUGAAAGUUUGCGGCUCAACCGUAAAAUUGCAGUUGAAACUGGCAGUCUUGAGUACAGUAGAGGUGGGCGGAAUUCGUGGUGUAGCGGUGAAAUGCUUAGAUAUCACGAAGAACUCCGAUUGCGAAGGCAGUUCACUGGACUGCAACUGACACUGAGGCUCGAAAGUGUGGGUAUCAAACAGGAUUAGAUACCCGUGUAGUC
RNAcentral lists this ribosomal RNA (460 nucleotides) under uncultured bacterium. Its description in RNAcentral is "partial 16S ribosomal RNA". It matches the Rfam family "Bacterial small subunit ribosomal RNA", at positions 338 to 795 of the family's 1533-position model. The record is from RNAcentral.